Molecule: regulatory RNA element, 297 nt
Organism: Cronobacter sakazakii ATCC BAA-894
Lineage: Bacteria; Pseudomonadati; Pseudomonadota; Gammaproteobacteria; Enterobacterales; Enterobacteriaceae
Rfam family: Soft rot Enterobacteriaceae Rev 39 5'UTR
About the family: From bacteria cultured under starvation conditions.
Source: Rfam
AUUUCUUGUCACAGCUUUGUUCUCUGUGAUAACUCUUUAGGUAUUCCUUCGAAAAUGACGUAAGUGCAUACAGAAAUGACAACCCUUCUACUAGUGAUUAGCCUGGUCGUGAUUAGCGUGGUGGUGAUUAUUAACCCACCGUGCGGGGCUGCACUCGGAAGAAGAAAGGCUUAGAAAUCAAGCCUGAAUCAUCGAAAACCCCCGCACCGAAAGGUCCGGGGGUUUUUUUAUGACCUAAAACUUAAGCGAGGAACAGAGAAUGAGUAGUAGCAUAAAAUUCUGUUGUCCGCAUUGUAA